Molecule: unclassified non-coding RNA, 234 nt
Filed under: plant metagenome
Description: partial contains small subunit ribosomal RNA, internal transcribed spacer 1, and 5.8S ribosomal RNA
Source: RNAcentral
GUUCCGUAGGUGAACCUGCGGAAGGAUCAUUAAUGUGUUUGGGCCUCCCGGCUCUUCAUUCCGACGCUGUGCGCCUUCGGGCUGCACGCUGAGGGAGCAUAUAUCCACCCCUGUGCACACACACGGUGGCGAGCUGGGUAACGGCUCGCCGCUGAUCUUUACACACGUCUAAAAGUCAUUGUAUGUUUAUUUGAGAUAAAAACACAACUUUCAGCAACGGAUCUCUUGGCUCUC